Molecule: ribosomal RNA, 460 nt
Filed under: uncultured bacterium
Lineage: Bacteria
Description: partial 16S ribosomal RNA
Rfam family: Bacterial small subunit ribosomal RNA
Source: RNAcentral
CCUACGGGAGGCAGCAGUGAGGAAUAUUGGUCAAUGGACGUAAGGCUGAACCAGCCAAGCCGCGUGAAGGAAGAAGGAUCUAUGGUUUGUAAACUGCUUUUAUAGGGGAAUAAAGGUAUCCACGUGUGGAUAUUUGCAUGUAUCCUAUGAAUAAGCAUCGGCUAACUCCGUGCCAGCAGCCGCGGUAAUACGGAGGAUGCGAGCGUUAUCCGGAUUUAUUGGGUUUAAAGGGUGCGUAGGUUGGUUGUUAAGUCAGCGGUGAAAGUUUGAGGCUCAACCAUAAAAUUGCCGUUGAAACUGGAAGACUUGAGUGUGUUUGCGGUAGGCGGAAUGCGUGGUGUAGCGGUGAAAUGCAUAGAGAUCACGCAGAACUCCGAUUGCGAAGGCAGCUUACUAAGCCAUAACUGACACUGAAGCACGAAAGCGUGGGGAGCAAACAGGAUUAGAUACCCUUGUAGUC